Molecule: non-coding RNA, 115 nt
Filed under: Cellulomonas fimi
Lineage: Bacteria; Bacillati; Actinomycetota; Actinomycetes; Micrococcales; Cellulomonadaceae
Also listed under: 1 other name
Description: SAM-IV sequence
Rfam family: SAM (S-adenosyl methionine) riboswitch aptamer
About the family: SAM-IV is a mRNA element that regulates gene expression via direct sensing of S-adenosylmethionine (SAM or AdoMet).
Source: RNAcentral
GUUCACGAGCUGCAGCGUCAAGUACCCGGCUGGCUGCACGGCAACCCUCCUGAUCGAGCGGGGUGCCCCGGGGCGAGAACCGGUGGUGCGUCACGGUGGCGCCCACAAGUCGGCC